This 26-nucleotide ribosomal RNA is filed under the name Phytophthora capsici. RNAcentral's name for it is "partial 18S ribosomal RNA". Lineage: Eukaryota; Oomycota; Peronosporomycetes; Peronosporales; Peronosporaceae. The record is from RNAcentral. RNAcentral also lists the same sequence under 9 other names.
UCGUAGUGACCUGCGGAGGAUCAUUA